Non-coding RNA from Acanthosepion pharaonis, 101 nucleotides. The record is from the annotation of a GenBank genome assembly. Lineage: Eukaryota; Metazoa; Mollusca; Cephalopoda; Sepiida; Sepiidae.
AGCGUUGAAACACCGGUUCUCGUACGAUCACCGAAGUUAAGCAACGUCGAGCCUGGUCAGUAACUUGAUGGGUAACUGCUUACGGAUACCAUGUGGUGUAA